GGGCAGGAUAGGUGAAGUUGGCCAACCGUUUCACGGUUGCCAACUUCACAAUUCUUAUUCGCGCUUGCAGCGCUCAACGAACAUCCUGCCCUGCGGGACA
This is a regulatory RNA element of Methyloglobulus morosus KoM1, 100 nucleotides long. It matches the Rfam family "traJ-II RNA". Lineage: Bacteria; Pseudomonadati; Pseudomonadota; Gammaproteobacteria; Methylococcales; Methylococcaceae. The record is from Rfam.